AAUCCAUGGUGAGGGCAUUCUUUGCGGUAGUCAUUAUAACGCUCCCAUGCGUCACAAAAAGGCUCAUCAGUGAGCUGUCUGAAGGAGGUGAUCUUGUUCCUCAAUGC
This is a non-coding RNA of Brassica napus (rape), 107 nucleotides long. The record is from Rfam. NCBI's taxonomy places the organism in Eukaryota, Viridiplantae, Streptophyta, Magnoliopsida, Brassicales, Brassicaceae.